GAGGACUCGUAUGUCACCGCCCGGAGGAGCGGAGCGGAGCGAUUGGCCGGGUGAAUUAUCUGCCUUGUUGCAGUGAAUUAUUUGCGCUGUUUCCUUUCCCAGUCAACAAGUUUCUGAGCUUGACUUUGAAUUUCUUUAAGUGCCAGAGCGAGGAUACGGUGCUGGGUAAUGCAUUGCCAUGCACUAUAUUUAGAAAGCAGCUGGAAGAGAAGAUGUCCUCAGGAAUCCGGACUGUUUUGUUGUACUUGUCCCUCCCGUCCCGGCCCUGUAACGCAAACGCUCCUUCUGCAGAGGGCACACCGCAGCACGAUGAAGCCAACCCCCCCUGCAGAGGAGCAGGCCCCAAGCUGCUGGCGCCGGCCCGAGGUAAGGGACGUGAACAGAAGCUGAGGAGCUGGUGCAGGGUCCCCGCCACACCCCAAACACCCCUCUCGCCCCUUUGCUGCUCUGGGCCAUCGAGCUGCACUUUCUGGAUUCACACGGGGGGCGGGGACAUCCGGGGGCUGCGUGUGCCUGUGCCAGCCCGGCAUUCACCGUCACCGUCCCUGUUGUGACACCAGACGUGGGGGCCCCGCUCCCUGCCGGCACCGCUGAGCCCGGCAGGGCCGGCCCCGGUGACGCCGGUCCCCUCCGAGCGACGCGCCACCGCAUCUGAGCGCCAGGCAAGCGGUUUUGUCACUUGCUUUGAGACGCGUCCUGCCUGGUCUCUCUUGUUUCAUUACCCGAAAUCCCAGAGAAACCACCCGGCAGGAUCAAUCAGUCACAGGCAGCCAGACAGUUUUCUUGUACUUUAUUAAAGUGUAAUCAAACAUCGGUUAAGUGGAAAAUAAAUAUCCAGAUCUAAUAAGCUGCUCA
RNAcentral lists this long non-coding RNA (855 nucleotides) under Zonotrichia albicollis (white-throated sparrow). RNAcentral describes it as "lncRNA (ENSZALG00000007394.1)". Lineage: Eukaryota; Metazoa; Chordata; Aves; Passeriformes; Passerellidae. The record is from RNAcentral.